CAUUUUGUAUAUUGUUUCAGGUAUGCAACAAUUAAGGGGGAGAAAAAACCGAAGACUAUACAAGUCAAUGAUUGAGGGGGAGUUCUUCUUGAAGAAAGUUAAGUAAUAUUUCUGUUGUGUCCUUCAAAAUGUAUAAAUGAUAGUGAGUGUAUUUGUAAUGGCUUUUAUGACCAUAAUGUUUUAUUACUUGAGCUUGAGACAUAAUACAAAAUAUCGUUAUCAAUAAA
Molecule: long non-coding RNA, 227 nt
Filed under: Aquilegia coerulea
Lineage: Eukaryota; Viridiplantae; Streptophyta; Magnoliopsida; Ranunculales; Ranunculaceae
Description: long non-coding RNA (ACOE_LNC000910)
Source: RNAcentral